RNAcentral lists this unclassified non-coding RNA (378 nucleotides) under uncultured Saccharospirillaceae bacterium. Its description in RNAcentral is "contains 16S-23S intergenic spacer region". Lineage: Bacteria; Pseudomonadati; Pseudomonadota; Gammaproteobacteria; Oceanospirillales; Saccharospirillaceae. The record is from RNAcentral.
UCCGGUUUGUCACCGGCAGUCUCCUUAUAGUCCCCGACAUCACUCGCUGGCAAAUAAGGACAAGGGUUGCGCUCGUUACGGGACUUAACCCAACAUUUCACAACACGAGCUGACGACAGCCAUGCAGCACCUGUCACUGCGUUCCCGAAGGCACCCAGCCAUCUCUGGCCGGUUCGCAGGAUUUCAAGAGUAGGUAAGGUUCUUCGCGUUGCGUCGAAUUAAACCACAUGCUCCACCGCUUGUGCGGGCCCCCGUCAAUUCAUUUGAGUUUUAACCUUGCGGCCGUACUCCCCAGGCGGUCGACUUAUCGCGUUAACUUCACCACCAAGUCCAUAAAGAACCCAACGGUUAGUCGACAUCGUUUACGGCGUGGACUAC